RNAcentral lists this ribosomal RNA (168 nucleotides) under uncultured Clostridium sp. RNAcentral's name for it is "partial 16S ribosomal RNA". It matches the Rfam family "Bacterial small subunit ribosomal RNA", at positions 338 to 523 of the family's 1533-position model. Lineage: Bacteria; Bacillati; Bacillota; Clostridia; Eubacteriales; Clostridiaceae. The record is from RNAcentral.
CCUACGGGAGGCAGCAGUGGGGAAUAUUGCGCAAUGGGGGAAACCCUGACGCAGCAACGCCGCGUGAGCGAUGAAGGUCUUCGGAUUGUAAAGCUCUGUCUUUUGGGACGAUAAUGACGGUACCAAAGGAGGAAGCCACGGCUAACUACGUGCCAGCAGCCGCGGUAA